This 490-nucleotide ribosomal RNA is filed under the name uncultured bacterium. RNAcentral describes it as "partial 16S ribosomal RNA". It matches the Rfam family "Bacterial small subunit ribosomal RNA", at positions 28 to 507 of the family's 1533-position model. The record is from RNAcentral.
GAUGAACGCUAGCUACAGGCUUAACACAUGCAAGUCGCGGGGCAGCAUGGGGGUUGCUUGCCAUUCCCGAUGGCGACCGGCGCACGGGUGAGUAACGCGUAUCCAACCUGCCCUUCACCACGGGAUAACCCGGCGAAAGUCGGACUAAUACCGUAUGUUGUCCAUUGACGGCAUCCGAUUUGGACGAAAGGCUUGGCGGUGAGGGAUGGGGAUGCGUCCGAUUAGCCAGACGGCGGGGUAACGGCCCACCGUGGCUACGAUCGGUAGGGGUUCUGAGAGGAAGGUCCCCCACACUGGAACUGAGACACGGUCCAGACUCCUACGGGAGGCAGCAGUGAGGAAUAUUGGUCAAUGGGCGUAAGCCUGAACCAGCCAAGUAGCGUGCAGGAGGACGGCCCUAUGGGUUGUAAACUGCUUUUAUGCGGGGAUAAAGUGGCCCACGGGUGGGCUUUUGCAGGUACCGCAUGAAUAAGGACCGGCUAAUUCCGUG